GAGGCUUCACAGCAUUUGACUCUCUUGUCCUUCAGCCUCCUGCCAUGUGAGGACACAGCAUUCCCUGCUCUGUAGGAUGCAGCAAUAGGACACCAUCCUGGAAGCAGAGAGCAACUGUCACAGACAACUGAACUUGCCAGUACCUUGCUCUUGGACGUCUCAGCCUCCAGACUGUGAGAAACAAGAAACCAGAUGUCCAAAGAAGCGAUGUUACCAAGGCCACAGCAAGUUGACUGGCAAGGCUGGGACUAGUACACCGCAUUCUGACCCCAGCCACUGCUCUCCUGAGAGAGGGAACUACUGCUGUGUGUCUACGACCGUAAAACAGGAGGAGAAACAGGAGAAAUGGAAGGAGGGUGCGUAAUGGAUCCAGCUCCCCUAAUGCUCUCCAUUUUACUCCCUACCACUGUCUUAUCAGAGUGUCCUCCCUAACACCAUGAACACUGUUUCUUAGCAAAACUCAGAAGUGUUGCAAGGUUGACGCCAGGCCAUGCCACCACCCCCAGGCCCUAGCCGAAGAGCCAUCCUGGGAUCUGUGAGGCCUGGGUGUCUGUCAGUGAGCUGCAGGAACCACGGACGGUUCAAGGUCUUUGGAGAAGGAUGCCUCUCUGCCACCUCAGCUGGGCCUGGAGGGGGCCGUGCUGUGCAGCGGCUCUGGAUGUCAUCAGCAGCCUGGAAGGCAGGACUGGCCUGCGAACCCUUGCACUUCUGCUUGGAGAAGAGAGUAGAUACGGAUCAUUAUUGUCAGAUUCCUGCCACAGUUGUUCUUCUCUUGAAUAAAUUACUGUUCUUGGAGAUGCAGGGUCUAAGGGAGAAACUGAUUGUAAAGAUUUUGCAAGGAAACAUAAGGGUAACAAUAGAAAGAAAAUAAGUCUUAACAUUACAUAGACCUAUGUUCUACUCCUGGUUCUGUCCCUUAUUAUCUGAGUGACUUUAACUUACUGGGUCUUAAUUUCUGUUUCUGUAAAGAGGGGCCCAUCUAACUUGGGAAGCCAUUGAGAGAAUUAUGCAGUGUAACAUACACCCGCCAGCUUGGAGUCUGGCACUAGCUGGCAUGCAAUCAAAUAUCAUUAGGAGGCGGAGCAUGGGGUUGGGAGAGGGUAACCUCCGUAAGUGCCAGAGCCGGAGGGAGCUCUGGAGAGCAGGAUGCCUGGUGUCUUACAGCCCCAAGAGGGAGCAGCUGGGGGAGUCUUGAGCUCACGGUUGCCACCUUCUAUCACAUGGCCAGUCCUCUCUGGACAUAGCUUAGAGAGUUGUGGCAGGCACCUGACCCGAAGACAGCUGAUCUGUAGGCUGGGCUAACUGUUCUAUGAGAUGGCUUAGCCCAAAAGGUUAAGUCCAAACCAGAAAGAUGGAUGUUUCCAAGCCAAUCAGAUUUUCUCUCUGUCUCUGAAUGGUCCAUGAGAGACAGAAGCAAGCAAGCAUCCAAGGAGAAGCGUGUGUGCACAUGCGCACGUGCGCGCGCGCACACACACACACACACACACAAGGAACCUAGCUCCAUCUACAGUAAGAUGAGCACUAGAGCUAAGGACAGCAAGCCCCUGCAGCUGCCACAGGUGUACACUGAACCUGCAAAGGGCACCCUGGACUCUGAAUGUCCUUCCAGGUGCAGAACUGUAUGUAAGUCUCUGUUUCUUGAGGCAGAAAGCUAACAGAGCACAAAGGUGCCUAGAGCAAUGCCCCACUCACCAGAAGAUCAUGCACCUAGGAAGCUGGACCUCAGAGAAGCCCAGGGUCACUCACUAAACUAGUGAUAUAGCUGAGGCUGAAAACCAGGCCACCUGGCUCUUAGUUAUGGAGAAGAAGAGCCAAAUUUGGGUUCCUCCAAGAGCUGAUAGUCACGGUUUUGUAGGGAAGGGGUGAAAGGCAGGGUGAGUCGAGGAGUUUCAGACACAAUCAUUCUUGACACGAGAUCCAGUUACUCCAAGGUACC
Chlorocebus sabaeus (green monkey) is the source of this 1936-nucleotide non-coding RNA. NCBI's taxonomy places the organism in Eukaryota, Metazoa, Chordata, Mammalia, Primates, Cercopithecidae. The record is from RefSeq and is a predicted model, not a curated record.